GAUGAACGCUGGCGGCGUGCCUAACACAUGCAAGUCGAACGGACAUUUUUUGGAAAGCUCUUCGGAACUGGAAUCUAAAUGUUAGUGGCGGACGGGUGAGUAACGCGUGAGCAAUCUGCCUUUCAGAGGGGGAUAACAGCCGGAAACGGAUGCUAAUACCGCAUAAGACCACAGUACUGCAUGGUACAGUGGUAAAAACUCCGGUGGUAUGAGAUGGACCCGCGUCUGAUUAGGUAGUUGGUGAGGUAACGGCCCACCAAGCCGACGAUCAGUAGCCGACCUGAGAGGGUGACCGGCCACAUUGGGACUGAGACACGGCCCAG
RNAcentral lists this ribosomal RNA (323 nucleotides) under uncultured bacterium. RNAcentral's name for it is "bacterial SSU rRNA". It matches the Rfam family "Bacterial small subunit ribosomal RNA", at positions 28 to 334 of the family's 1533-position model. The record is from RNAcentral.